RNAcentral lists this ribosomal RNA (465 nucleotides) under uncultured bacterium. Its description in RNAcentral is "partial 16S ribosomal RNA". It matches the Rfam family "Bacterial small subunit ribosomal RNA", at positions 28 to 507 of the family's 1533-position model. The record is from RNAcentral.
GACGAACGCUGGCGGCGUGCUUAACACAUGCAAGUCGUACGGUAAGGCCCUUUCGGGGGUACACGAGUGGCGAACGGGUGAGUAACACGUGAGUAACCUGCCCACAACUUUGGGAUAACGCUAGGAAACUGGUGCUAAUACUGGAUAUGUGCUCCUGCUGCAUGGUGGGGGUUGGAAAGCUCCGGCGGUUGUGGAUGGACUCGCGGCCUAUCAGCUUGUUGGCGGGGUAGUGGCCUACCAAGGCGGCGACGGGUAGCCGGCCUAAGAGGGUGACCGGCCACAUUGGGACUGAGAUACGGCCCAGACUCCUACGGGAGGCAGCAGUGGGGAAGAUUGCACAAUGGGCGCAAGCCUGAUGCAGCAACGCCGCGUGCGGGAUGACGGCCUUCGGGUUGUAAACCGCUUUCAGCAGGGACGAAGCUUUUUGUGACGGUACCUGCAGAAGAAGCACCGGCUAACUACGUG